GAUGAAGAACGCAGCGAAAUGCGAUAAGUAAUGUGAAUUGCAGAAUUCAGUGAAUCAUCGAAUCUUUGAACGCACAUUGCGCCCGCCAGUAUUCUGGCGGGCAUGCCUGUUCGAGCGUCAUUUCAACCAUCAAGCCCCAGGCUUGUGUUGGGGACCUGCGGCUGCCGCAGGCCCUGAAAAGCAGUGGCGGGCUCGCUGUCACACCGAGCGUAGUAGCAUACAUCUCGCUCUGGGCGUGCUGCGGGUUCCGGCCGUAAAACCACCUUCAUAACCCAAGGUUGACCUCGGAUCAGGUAGGAAGACCCGCUGAACUUAAGCAUAUCAAUAAGCGGAGGA
This 336-nucleotide unclassified non-coding RNA is filed under the name soil metagenome. RNAcentral describes it as "partial contains 5.8S ribosomal RNA, internal transcribed spacer 2, and large subunit ribosomal RNA". The stretch from base 1 to 120 matches the Rfam family "5.8S ribosomal RNA", at positions 35 to 154 of the family's 154-position model. The record is from RNAcentral.